CCCAAGCUUGCUUGGGUACUCGAGUGGCGAACGGGUGAGUAACACGUGGGUGAUCUGCCCUGCACUUCGGGAUAAGCCUGGGAAACUGGGUCUAAUACCGGAUAGGACCACAUUUUGGAUGGUGUGGUGGAAAGUUUUUCGGUGUGGGAUGAGCUCGCGGCCUAUCAGCUUGUUGGUGGGGUAAUGGCCUACCAAGGCGUCGACGGGUAGCCGGCCUGAGAGGGUGUACGGCCACAUUGGGACUGAGAUACGGCCCAGACUCCUACAGGAGGCAGCAGUGGGGAAUAUUGCACAAUGGGCGCAAGCCCGAUGCAGCGACGCCGCGUGGGGGAUGACGGCCUUCGGGUUGUAAACUCCUUUCGCUAGGGACGAAGCGCAAGUGACGGUACCUGGAGAAGAAGCACCGGCUAACUACGUGCCAGCAGCCGCGGUAAUACGUAGGGUGCGAGCGUUGUCCGGAAUUACUGGGCGUAAAGAGCUCGUAGGUGGUUUGUCGCGUCGUUUGUGUAAGCCCGCAGCUUAACUGCGGGACUGCAGGCGAUACGGGCAUAACUUGAGUGCUGUAGGGGAGACUGGAAUUCCUGGUGUAGCGGUGGAAUGCGCAGAUAUCAGGAGGAACACCGAUGGCGAAGGCAGGUCUCUGGGCAGUAACUGACGCUGAGGAGCGAAAGCAUGGGUAGCGAACAGGAUUAGAUACCCUGGUAGUCCAUGCCGUAAACGGUGGGCGCUAGGUGUGAGUCCCUUCCACGGGGUUCGUGCCGCAGCUAACGCAUUAAGCGCCCCGCCUGGGGAGUACGGCCGCAAGGCUAAAACUCAAAGGAAUUGACGGGGGCCCGCACAAGCGGCGGAGCAUGUGGAUUAAUUCGAUGCAACGCGAAGAACCUUACCUGGGCUUGACAUACACCAGAUCGCCGUAGAGAUACGGUUUCCCUUUGUGGUUGGUGUACAGGUGGUGCAUGGUUGUCGUCAGCUCGUGCCGUGAGAUGUUGGGUUAAGUCCCGCAACGAGCGCAACCCUUGUCUUAUGUUGCCAGCAAUUCGGUUGGGGACUCGUGAGAGACUGCCGGGGUUAAC
RNAcentral lists this ribosomal RNA (1073 nucleotides) under uncultured bacterium. Its description in RNAcentral is "bacterial SSU rRNA". It matches the Rfam family "Bacterial small subunit ribosomal RNA", at positions 73 to 1162 of the family's 1533-position model. The record is from RNAcentral.